This 218-nucleotide unclassified non-coding RNA is filed under the name Hevea brasiliensis (rubber tree). Lineage: Eukaryota; Viridiplantae; Streptophyta; Magnoliopsida; Malpighiales; Euphorbiaceae. The record is from RNAcentral.
AUUUAAACAGUUUCGUGUGUUGCGGACAGCAACAGAAUUCAGAUAUGGCUACAAGAUUGUUGAAAAUGGAAACUUGAGAUCCGCACUUUCUACCUCAGAUGUAAUUGAGCUUCCAACUCAAGACCAGUUGAAGACAGUUCUCGAUAAAGUUAAAGACUUCUUUGGAGAUGCAAAGGAAUCAUUUGGCAAACUCACUGCACUAGGUUCACUUGAAGGCG